RNAcentral lists this ribosomal RNA (947 nucleotides) under Bifidobacterium adolescentis. RNAcentral describes it as "bacterial SSU rRNA". It matches the Rfam family "Bacterial small subunit ribosomal RNA", at positions 216 to 1170 of the family's 1533-position model. Lineage: Bacteria; Bacillati; Actinomycetota; Actinomycetes; Bifidobacteriales; Bifidobacteriaceae. The record is from RNAcentral.
CGGUAUGGGAUGGGGUCGCGUCCUAUCAGCUUGAUGGCGGGGUAACGGCCCACCAUGGCUUCGACGGGUAGCCGGCCUGAGAGGGCGACCGGCCACAUUGGGACUGAGAUACGGCCCAGACUCCUACGGGAGGCAGCAGUGGGGAAUAUUGCACAAUGGGCGCAAGCCUGAUGCAGCGACGCCGCGUGCGGGAUGACGGCCUUCGGGUUGUAAACCGCUUUUGACUGGGAGCAAGCCCUUCGGGGUGAGUGUACCUUUCGAAUAAGCACCGGCUAACUACGUGCCAGCAGCCGCGGUAAUACGUAGGGUGCAAGCGUUAUCCGGAAUUAUUGGGCGUAAAGGGCUCGUAGGCGGUUCGUCGCGUCCGGUGUGAAAGUCCAUCGCUUAACGGUGGAUCCGCGCCGGGUACGGGCGGGCUUGAGUGCGGUAGGGGAGACUGGAAUUCCCGGUGUAACGGUGGAAUGUGUAGAUAUCGGGAAGAACACCAAUGGCGAAGGCAGGUCUCUGGGCCGUCACUGACGCUGAGGAGCGAAAGCGUGGGGAGCGAACAGGAUUAGAUACCCUGGUAGUCCACGCCGUAAACGGUGGAUGCUGGAUGUGGGGACCAUUCCACGGUCUCCGUGUCGGAGCCAACGCGUUAAGCAUCCCGCCUGGGGAGUACGGCCGCAAGGCUAAAACUCAAAGAAAUUGACGGGGGCCCGCACAAGCGGCGGAGCAUGCGGAUUAAUUCGAUGCAACGCGAAGAACCUUACCUGGGCUUGACAUGUUCCCGACAGCCGUAGAGAUACGGUCUCCCUUCGGGGCGGGUUCACAGGUGGUGCAUGGUCGUCGUCAGCUCGUGUCGUGAGAUGUUGGGUUAAGUCCCGCAACGAGCGCAACCCUCGCCCUGUGUUGCCAGCACGUCGUGGUGGGAACUCACGGGGGACCGCCGGGGUCAACUCGGAGGA